This 76-nucleotide transfer RNA is filed under the name bacterium. RNAcentral's name for it is "tRNA-Ala". It matches the Rfam family "tRNA". From Rfam's summary of the family: Transfer RNA (tRNA) molecules are approximately 80 nucleotides in length. Their secondary structure includes four short double-helical elements and three loops (D, anti-codon, and T loops). Further hydrogen bonds mediate the characteristic L-shaped molecular structure. tRNAs have two regions of fundamental functional importance: the anti-codon, which is responsible for specific mRNA codon recognition, and the 3' end, to which the tRNAs corresponding amino acid is attached (by aminoacyl-tRNA synthetases). tRNAs cope with the degeneracy of the genetic code in two manners: having more than one tRNA (with a specific anti-codon) for a particular amino acid; and 'wobble' base-pairing, i.e. permitting non-standard base-pairing at the 3rd anti-codon position. The record is from RNAcentral. RNAcentral also lists the same sequence under 8 other names.
GGGGACGUAGCUCAGCUGGGAGAGCGCCGCGUUCGCAACGCGGAGGUCGGCGGUUCGAAUCCGCUCGUCUCCACCA